AAAAAUGUUCUCAUUCAAGUUCAUACGCAGUGUUCGACACUCGACGAUCCGUUAAUUUCAAUGUAUACUUUAUAUUUUGAAAAACAUUCGCCGCUUAUAUCCGUUCGAGCAACUGCGUCUUCAAAAGCUUCGAAUCCAAAUCCAAAUCCAGUUGUUUCGUGCGCUUUGUUGCCUCGGCAGCCUCACCCUUCCUCGUGGAGUGUUUUCGAGGUUUUAGAUAUUUCGGUAGGUUUCACUCGAUUUGGCGAGAACGGAGAAAUAAGCGACGUCCACAGGACUUUAUUUAAAAACUGCAAUCCUUCGAAUGUGGUCGACUUCGAGCGUAGGACGGCGACGCGAACGCUCGAGGAGGCUAUUUCGACGCCGAGAUCCUCGAACUGACGGGGCUGUGCAUUCUACAAAGGGAAGCGAUCGGACUGUCCUCUCAUCUCGACAACUUUUCUGUCGCUGUACCAUCAUAACGCUAUUGUUCGAUGGGUAAUUGGUUUUCAGGACUACCUGCGGCUCGGCUGUUGAUGCAAAAGGUGCUGUAGGGCCCUACUGCCUAACGUUUGCUGACGAGGACAUCCUUGCAAAGAAUGAGAUCGUGGAUCCUAGCAUCGGCCUCCAGAAAAGGAAGGAAUGAUCCAUGUCGGGCAAGGUGUGCACGUCAACCAGGAAUGCGGGCAACAUGCGGAGAGCAGAGUGCGACUCCAUGUUUUGCAAGAUCACUGCUGCUUCCAUAGGGCUGCUUUUGACUACACCUGAGGGAGAAAGGUACCACCAGGCUGAAAGGGCAGCCCGGCACCAGAAGAUAUGGCGGUACCUGUCAGAAAAGCUGUCCAAUCUCAAAAGAAAUCACUACCAAGGCUCAUCCCUUUGCUGCCUGUCCUCCCCCGAUGCGUGGUCCCACCACGGACUGCCCAUGCUGUUGCAGGUCUGCCAUCGCUUGCACCCCAUGUUGUAGCCUUUUUACCCUUUUCUUCAUAUUAAUUUAGCUUAAUUUAUAUAUUGCCAAUACUAUUGAAAUGGAACAAUUGUACUAUCGCAGCCAAUAUGAGCUGAAACGCCACUGCACGUGGCACGCGAUGAGAGUUGUCUCUCAGAUUGUUCAGCAAACCUUGGUAUGCUUUGAGGUAGAAACAAAUCACUUCUUGUGCUCGUUGCACCACUAUGCCGUUCCGUGUCAAUUUUCAGCUCAUGGUGGCACAAUGAGUGCAAGAAGCAACCUGCCUAAACCUCAGCAAACACAGCGGUUCACUGAUAAUCCGACAGGUGGCUCUGAUAGUACCGCACGCCAAGCGUCAUGGCGCUUCAACUAAUAUUGGUCACAAUAGUACUUCCUCGAAUGUUUCUGGUUUUUCUGUACUACCUAGCCAUUCCGCCCAGCGAAACAAUGUAUGAUUUCAUAACUUCAUAAUAAAAAUAUCAAA
RNAcentral lists this unclassified non-coding RNA (1412 nucleotides) under Ixodes scapularis (black-legged tick). Its description in RNAcentral is "uncharacterized LOC121834548, transcript variant X3". Lineage: Eukaryota; Metazoa; Arthropoda; Arachnida; Ixodida; Ixodidae. The record is from RNAcentral.